AGUCGAGCGGUGAGAGAAGCUUGCUUCUCUUGAGAGUGGCGGACGGGUGAGUAAUGCGUGAGGAUCUGCCGAGCAGUGGGGAAUAACGUAGGGAAACUUACGCUAAUACCGCAUACCUUCUACGGAAGAAAGAGGGGGACCUUCGGGCCUCUCGCUGUUCGAUGAACUCGCGUCGGAUUAGCUGGUUGGUGAGGUAAUGGCUCACCAAGGCGACGAUCCGUAGCUGGUCUGAGAGGACGACCAGCCACACUGGGACUGAGACACGGCCCAGACUCCUACGGGAGGCAGCGGUGGGGAAUAUUGGACAAUGGGCGCAAGCCUGAUCCAGCAAUGCCGCGUGUGUGAAGAAGGCCUUCGGGUUGUAAAGCACUUUAAGCGGGGAGGAAGCGCAGUCAGUUAAUACCUGGUUGCGUUGACGUUACCCGCAGAAUAAGCACCGGCUAACUCUGUGCCAGCAGCCGCGGUAAU
Molecule: ribosomal RNA, 468 nt
Filed under: uncultured bacterium
Lineage: Bacteria
Description: bacterial SSU rRNA
Rfam family: Bacterial small subunit ribosomal RNA
Source: RNAcentral